Molecule: ribosomal RNA, 300 nt
Filed under: uncultured Bartonella sp.
Lineage: Bacteria; Pseudomonadati; Pseudomonadota; Alphaproteobacteria; Hyphomicrobiales; Bartonellaceae
Description: partial 16S ribosomal RNA
Rfam family: Bacterial small subunit ribosomal RNA
Source: RNAcentral
GGAAAUUCCGGGUCAGAGGGCGCGGUAAGAAGGGGGGUGCGAGGGUUAAUCGGGAGUAAUGGGCGUAAAGGGCACGGAGGGUGUCGUUCAAGUCGGAGGUGCAAUCCCCGGGCUCAACCGGGGGACUGCAUUCGAAACUGGCAGGCUAGAGUCUUGUAGAGGGGGGUAGAAUUCCAGGUGUAGCGGUGAAAUGCGUAGAGAUCUGGAGGAAUACCGGUGGCGAAGGCGGCCCCCUGGACAAAGACUGACGCUCAGGUGCGAAAGCGUGGGGAGCAAACAGGAUUAGAUACCCGUGUAGUC